Non-coding RNA from Onthophagus taurus, 398 nucleotides. NCBI's taxonomy places the organism in Eukaryota, Metazoa, Arthropoda, Insecta, Coleoptera, Scarabaeidae. The record is from RefSeq and is a predicted model, not a curated record.
GUUUUAUUUGAAUUGUAUAGUAUAAAAUAUUUCGUUUUUCUUGUUUUAAUCAUAAUCUUAGUUAUUUGGAAAAUAUUCCAUGUUGUUAAAUCUGAAAAAUUAUUGUAUGUUCCACGAUUAGGAUGUCAAAUUACACAAAAAUACAAAUUCGGAUUCUCAUCUACAUUUAUUCCAGCAAAAUCAAUACAGGGUUUAUUUAUUAAUGAAGUUUUUUCUAAGCAUCGUGUGUUAUUUGUAUUAAGCAUUUUGGUUAAAGAUGAUAAUAAGGAUACCAUUAUUCCAUUAUUUACGGUACUUUUUAAUAUAAUCAGGGUGAUUUAAUAGUAAUGUGUUAAAUUCCACAUACUUGUUCAUUGUUCAAUGAUUCCCUAAAAUAAUAAUAUCCUGUAUGAACAAAA